UCCCAUAACCUGGCUCCUUACCCUGGACAUCUCUGUGACCCUGAGCUCGGACAGCCCGCCCCCUAACUCCUGCCUCACCUGGACUCCCAUCCAGCCUCUCGUUCUCAGACCUCACGAACACUCAGUCCCCGACAGUCUGGUACCUGACCUCUGACCUCUCUCUCCCCAUCAAGCUCCCCAGCCCUGAUCUGACUCCCAGCUUUAGAUCUCUGCCUCCCACAGGUGGAAAGGGGAGAAUGUGGCCACAACUGAGGUGGCGGAGGUCUUUGAGGCCCUGGAUUUCCUUCAGGAGGUGAAUGUCUACGGAGUCACUGUGCCAGGUACCUAAGCAAGGAAGGUGGGGGCGUCCUGCGGCCCAUCACCCCCGAGAAGCACGAGGCCUUCCUGGUGGCCGGCCUCGGGUGGCUCAUCCGCUCUUUAUCCUUCCAGGGCACGAAGGCAGGGCUGGGAUGGCAGCCCUGGUUCUGCGUCCCCCGCAUGCUUUAGACCUUGGGCAGCUCUACACCCACGUUUCUGAGAACUUGCCCCCUUACGCCCGGCCUCGGUUCCUAAGGCUUCAGGUAACCGCCACUCCCGCCCAGCCCCGCCCCCCAAAACCACAACAGUUGGUGAUUCCUGCACUCCACAAAGGGCUCCCACGGAAGACACUGAAGAAACGAACAGCGCCGUCCCAGACACAUGCUCCUCGGCCCCUCUCCCUGUCCCCCCCCAGGCCUGGACCUUCCCUUCCCUGUCACCUCUUGGCUUAGCCUUAUCUAAUGGCCCUGCCCCUGGAUUUGCCCCUUAACCAAUCCAGACACUCACCCGAGCUGACUGGGCAGGAUACUUUCCUUCCACACCUGUGGGCCCUUCCUCCUGCAGGAAUCGUUGGCCACCACCGAGACCUUCAAACAGCAGAAGGUUCGGAUGGCGAAUGAGGGCUUCGACCCGAGCACCCUGUCUGACCCCCUCUACGUUCUGGACCAGGUUGUAGGUGCCUACCUGCCCCUCACACCUGCACGGUACAAUGCCCUUCUGGCUGGGGACCUUCGAAUCUGAGACCUUCCAGGCCUGAGGCACCUUGGGAGGGACUCUGGGGGUGCUCUGAGACACGCCAUUGUGGGCGCACCAGGGGCUAUCAGGGAUCUUUUUUAUAUCAGUUUAUUGUCAUUUUAUAAUAAAUGGGACCAAGCCCAUGUGACUCUU
RNAcentral lists this long non-coding RNA (1185 nucleotides) under Marmota monax (woodchuck). The record is from RNAcentral. Lineage: Eukaryota; Metazoa; Chordata; Mammalia; Rodentia; Sciuridae.